AUACAAGCAUGUUGCCGAAGACAGUAGGAGCUAAGCGUAAUUCUGAUAAUUCAGAUCCUACCGAGGAACAAUCAUUACACUAUGUUUAUGAUUAUCACCCUCUCUGUCUUUAUGGCGGAGAGGUUUUUUCGU
RNAcentral lists this small RNA (132 nucleotides) under bovine gut metagenome. Its description in RNAcentral is "Ribosomal protein L10 leader". It matches the Rfam family "Ribosomal protein L10 leader". From Rfam's summary of the family: This family is a putative r-protein leader autoregulatory structure found in B. subtilis and other low-GC Gram-positive bacteria. The record is from RNAcentral.